Molecule: ribosomal RNA, 391 nt
Filed under: uncultured eukaryote
Lineage: Eukaryota
Description: partial 18S ribosomal RNA
Rfam family: Eukaryotic small subunit ribosomal RNA
Source: RNAcentral
CAAUAGCGUAUAUUAAAGUUGUUGCAGUUAAAAAGCUCGUAGUUGGAUUUCUGUGAGAGUGCCGGUGUCGGCUGAUGCUUGUACGCAGGCGCUCUUACAUCCUUCUGUUAACUGUUCUUGGCAUUUUAUUGCUGGUUCAGGGCUCAGAUAUUUUACCUUGAGAAAAUUAGAGUGUUUCAGGCAGGCUUAUGCCGGAAUACAUUAGCAUGGAAUAAUGGAAUAGGACCUGUGCGUCUCUCGGGGCGCCGGUCUCCGUUGUUGGUUUCGGGGACUAAUGUAAUGAUUAAUAGGGAUAGUUGGGGGCAUUAGUAUUUAAUAGUCAGAGGUGAAAUUCUCGGAUUUGUUAAAGACUAACUUAUGCGAAANCANNNGCCAAGGAUGUUUUCAUNAA